RNAcentral lists this long non-coding RNA (2120 nucleotides) under Homo sapiens (human). Its description in RNAcentral is "HSALNT0121065". Lineage: Eukaryota; Metazoa; Chordata; Mammalia; Primates; Hominidae. The record is from RNAcentral.
AGGAGCCUGGCAAAGACCAGGAUAUCAGCAGCAGGGGGCAGAGCCAGAGGUGGCCUGCAGGCAUCUUUCUUUCCCAGUUUUCAUGACAUGAUCCCAAAUCUACUUAGCAGUGGCCAUUUCUUAUUUUCAUAUCUAUUUUUUCAGAAAUGUAUAAGGACUAAGGGUGUCAGAGUAAUCAGCAUAACAACCAAACGAGCUGAAGUCUGCAAAAUUCAACUCCCCCUGCCUAGAUAUUAAAUUUGCCUACAGGAAAAAAGCCCACCAGGUACUUAAAAAAAUUAAUGAAAUGAUAUUAUGCUGCAUUUAAAAGAACAUGCCUAUGAAGCAGAAUACCAUGUAGUGCUACCAUUUAUUUGAAAGUCAUUUUGACAACACUGUGCAUACUUAGAGUUUUGGGUUAAAGAUAAUUGUGUAUAGAAAACUAUAGAAAACAUUGCUUUGAAAGUGAAGCCAGUAUCAAUGUUAUCCUAAUCUCUUUGCCAAAAAAAAAGAAAACUAUCUCUUAAUUACACUACAAUCAAAUCGAGUCUUCAACUCUUAUAUGCUCAUUCAGAAUUUUAAAAUCUCUCUCACGGGAGGAAAUGUAAAAGGAAAGUUUUCAAGACCUUUUUGUACCUUAAUAUCCUUUUCAACUUCUAAUGUAAAACGUAUUUGUCCUGAUACAAUGCUGUGAAAUAAAGACCACAUCAGGAAUGUAAUGAAGUUUAAAAGUAGCUCCUUUUUUGCACUGAGAACAAUUUUAUUGAUUCAAAUUAGAAACUUCUAACUGGGGGCAGGAGAAAAAGGAGGAAGAAGAGAGAAGCAAGCAAUCUGUGACCUAGCGCUGAUUAUUGGCUGACCUCUAAUAAAGGAAGAAGAUUCGGAUUUCUGGUGCCAAAACGAAAGUAAUAAAGUGGAAAAUGAAUUUUUGCAAUCCCCACACAUCACUGAAUUUAUCUAUUGUCUUCUAGGCAAAGUAAUCCUACAAAAGGAAGUUCUAUUUCAAGGAUUUUCACUCCUUUUCCAUCUCUGAACUGAAAAGAAACAAGGGGCAGUUUGCAGCUUCAAAAUAUUUAAAUAACCUAUAACUCAUAUCAGUGUUCCAAUUAAAAAUUACCUAAUCUGUUCUUUGCUCCUUGCAAGUUUCAUUGAAGCAGUGCCCUUAACAGGCAAAGAAGGUACGUGGUAAAAUUCAGCUCCCGGUAGAGUGUCCAUCAACCAGCUCUGGCGGGAUGUGCUGUCAGGAAUGGAGCGCCCCCUGGAGGCCAGUCAUCCAGCCAGUCUGUUCCCAUCGAUUAGAGCAGAGGCUCUCAAGUAUGGUCCCUGGACCAACAGCAUCAACACCACCUGAGAACUGUUAAGAAAUCCAAGUUCUGGGGCCCCACCAUAGGCCAACUGAAACAGAAACCUCUGUGGUGGGGCCCAGCAAACUACAGGCCUUGCAGGUGAUGCUGAUGCCUGCUAAUUUUGAGAACCACUGUAUUAGAACACCUCACUCCCCAAAGAUGUCAGAAUCAAGGUGUCAUUGUGUUAAGAAAUUAUACAGGAAUGAACAGAGCUGAAAUGUCUUUCCUACAUAGAGAAAGAACCAAGAGUUGAUGUUUGUAUCAAGUAAACACAUUGAGUUACAAUUUAGAAAAUGUUGAUACCAAUGUAUGUUUUAAAUACAUUAAAACAGCUUUUAGCAACCCUUUAAUUAUUCCCAAUAUAUAGUUUGAAUGAAUUACUGUGUCCCUUGAUGAAAAGGAUAAAAAAGGAAUGUAAGUGACUCUACCACAAAUACAGGAAAAGUUUGGAUAACCUCAGUACCUACCACUACCAACAACAAGACCAAAGAGUCUACCCCCACUGUUUAUGAUCCCUCCCUCUCUUCUCAGGACUGCCAUCUGACUCAAACCAGUUCAUGGCUAUCUGACUACAAAACGAGGCUGAACUUGAUCACAAUCAAGGUGAAAAUGAAAAUAACAAUCAAGAAAAACACUUCCCUCAUUACUCAUGAUUUUUUUUAAUUUAACAUAUAUAGUACAUGUAAACAACUGGCAUAAAAUUCAUAAAAAUACAAUACUCCUAUGCAAUAUCACUUUAUUCCUGAUACAUACUUUCUUUCCUCAUACUAAAGCAAAAAUAUUUGUAAAUGCUAA